AGAUGGGCAUGCGCGACAUUAGCUAGUUGGUGAGGUAACGGCUCACCAAGGCUACGAUGUCUAGGGGUUCUGAGAGGAUUCACCCCCACACUGGUACUGAGACACGGACCAGACUCCUACGGGAGGCAGCAGUAAGGAAUAUUGGUCAAUGGACGCAAGUCUGAACCAGCCAUGCCGCGUGCAGGAUGACAGCCCUACGGGUUGUAAACUGCUUUGUACGGGAAAAAACCUCCGGUCGGAAUCGGAGCUGAUGGUACCGUAAGAAUAAGCAUCGGCUAACUCCGUGCCAGCAGCCGCGGUAAUACGGAGGAGCAAGCGUUAUCCGGAUUCAUUGGGUUAAAGGGUGCGCAGGCGGAAUGAUAAGUCAGCGGUGAAAUCCUACGGCUCAACUGUAGAACUGCCGUUGAUACUGUUGUUCUUGAGUACACUUGAAGUGGGCGGAAUGUGUCAUGUAG
Molecule: ribosomal RNA, 455 nt
Filed under: uncultured bacterium
Lineage: Bacteria
Description: bacterial SSU rRNA
Rfam family: Bacterial small subunit ribosomal RNA
Source: RNAcentral